Molecule: unclassified non-coding RNA, 1470 nt
Filed under: Schistocerca americana (American grasshopper)
Lineage: Eukaryota; Metazoa; Arthropoda; Insecta; Orthoptera; Acrididae
Description: uncharacterized LOC124551380, transcript variant X3
Source: RNAcentral
GUAAGUUUAUAAGCACUUUGGUGGAACAAUUCCCGCUCUCAUUUGAGUUGUUGUAUUGUUGAAGUGAGACAGUUUUCAUUUAUAAUAAGUAACAGAAUGUCAGAAGUUACUCAAUCUAGUAGUUCAGAAAUGCCCAGCAUUGAUGUACCUGGUAAAACGGAUACAGAGUUCAUGAUGUCCAUUGUGAUAAUUUCUACAGCUGACCUUGCCAAGAAUAUGAAGGAAGCUCUGCUCGAAUACCACAAAGCUCACGAGGAGCGAUAUAAACUCUAUGUCCAUGUUUCAGAGAGAGUGAAACGGCUACUGAGUAACUUAGCCGUGCAUGUGGAUUACUACAUAAUCUUGGCAGAUCCGAGACGAGCUGAUGCUGCAGAUAAAAUCAAAGAAGACUUGUUGCAUCUCAGUCCUGUGUUUCUGGCCACCGGUCGGUGUGUGAUAGCUGUGUCCUGGCCAGAGGGAAUACCACCACACCUGGUUGCGACGUGCUCGGCAGAAGUGCAUAACGUCUGCAGAGACAAGAUGCUGCACAAACUAGUUCAGCGAGAAGAGGGCCCUGCUGGGAAGAUUGGAACAACACCUCUGAAUGGAAUCUUACAUGGAAAACUCCGCUUCACACCCCCCUCAGAUUUAGUGAUAAGAUAGCCUGUGAAGAAGGUGUACUGAACUGUAAAAAAGAAAAGCAAAAUAAGAACAGUGAACGGUCCAAGAACAAGGAAAGCAAUAAAGAGCAGGUCAAAACAGCAACGGCAUCAUGGAAGCACCUUGCCGAUAGACUACUACGCCUUGCCAGGACUGCUCGAGGGCUGACUGGCUCUGGAAUACCAAAUGUCACAGGCUGCUUCAACCCUGGCCACUACUGGCAUUCCUCAGCUGGAGCAACAGUAAUGCUACCGUCAUGGGGUGUUGGUGGUGAUGGUUAUGAUAGUGAACAAUGACAAAAUAAUUCCCCCCCCCUUGGGGGGGGUCUUGGAGAAGUGUAAAUAGUUGGGAAAACUGAGGAUUUACUACAGAUAGGUAUAAUUUAUGCUCAAGUAAGCUGUAAUUUAUAAUUCAUUUGUGUAAACAAUAUAUACAGACAUAUUUCUUCUACAAAACAAUUACACUAUUAUACAGAGAGUGUGAAGAUACUAACAACAUUCUGUGCACUUGUUUCUCUAAACACUCCUUUUAGCAACUCAGCAGUUUUCCCUGUAAUGUCAGCUGUUUCUGCUUUAUUUUUUAUUUUUUUUAUUUUCUGUAGUUCUCAUUAUGGUAAAAAUAAUGAAGCUGCUGAGACACCAAAAUUACAUAUUUAUAGAAACAAUAAAUUAAUCUGAUUUGCUAACAAGUGUAUAAAUCUACCUUGAUUGACAACAGGCUGGAAUUUCAAUACGAUUCGUUCAAGAGUGGCUUAAAACUAAAGGCAGUCUUAAAGUUUGAGAAAUAUAUAUUCAUACAAAAUAUACGGAAAUUUCAUCACAAGUAUGUACG